This 422-nucleotide ribosomal RNA is filed under the name uncultured cyanobacterium. RNAcentral describes it as "bacterial SSU rRNA". It matches the Rfam family "Bacterial small subunit ribosomal RNA", at positions 358 to 795 of the family's 1533-position model. The record is from RNAcentral. Lineage: Bacteria; Bacillati; Cyanobacteriota.
GGAAUUUUCCGCAAUGGGCGAAAGCCUGACGGAGCAACGCCGCGUGAGGGAUGAAGGCCUCUGGGCUGUAAACCUCUUUUCUCAAGGAAGAAGAUCUGACGGUACUUGAGGAAUAAGCCACGGCUAAUUCCGUGCCAGCAGCCGCGGUAAUACGGGAGUGGCAAGCGUUAUCCGGAAUUAUUGGGCGUAAAGCGUCCGCAGGCGGCCUUGAAAGUCUGUCGUUAAAGCGUGGAGCUUAACUCCAUUUAAGCGAUGGAAACUACAAGGCUAGAGUGUGGUAGGGGCAGAGGGAAUUCCCGGUGUAGCGGUGAAAUGCGUAGAUAUCGGGGAGAACACCAGUGGCGAAGGCGCUCUGCUGGGCCAUAACUGACGCUCAUGGACGAAAGCCAGGGGAGCGAAAGGGAUUAGAUACCCCUGUAGUC